Molecule: ribosomal RNA, 253 nt
Filed under: uncultured bacterium
Lineage: Bacteria
Description: partial 16S ribosomal RNA
Rfam family: Bacterial small subunit ribosomal RNA
Source: RNAcentral
UACGUAGGGACCAAGCGUUGUUCGGAUUUACUGGGCGUAAAGGGCGCGUAGGCGGCGUGGUAAGUCACUUGUGAAAUCUCCGAGCUUAACUCGGAACGGUCAAGUGAUACUGCUGUGCUAGAGUACAGAAGGGGCAAUCGGAAUUCUUGGUGUAGCGGUGAAAUGCGUAGAUAUCAAGAGGAACACCUGAGGCGAAGGCGGGUUGCUGGGCUGAUACUGACGCUGAAGCGCGAAAGCGAGGGUAGCAAACGGG